Molecule: unclassified non-coding RNA, 240 nt
Filed under: soil metagenome
Description: partial contains 5.8S ribosomal RNA, internal transcribed spacer 2, and large subunit ribosomal RNA
Source: RNAcentral
AACAUCGCGCACCUGCGGGAACCUGCGGAAGGAUCAUUACCGAGUGUGAACCCCCCCGUAAAAAAGAGGGGUUACCUCCCGUCCUUUGCUGGGAACCCCUUUCCAACUUGGAAGGAGGUUGUUUUCAGACCCUUCUGCUUCGGUGGGGUAACCCACCGGAACAACCUCAAAAAUAUUCUCAAUUCAAAACCGUUCAGUCCGAGAACUUUUUUGAAAAGCGAAAAAACUUUCAACAAUGGA